AAUAAAUUUUUUAUGGUUUAAUAAUUUAUUAUAAAUUUAUUUUACAUAUAAAUUUUAGUGUUGAAUUUUAAUUAUUUUAAUAAUAAUUAAUUUAAUUAAAUAGUAAUUAAUAUUAAAAAUUUAAGAAAUUAAGAUUUAGUAAUAUUUAAAUUAAAAACUAAUUUUGUGCCAGCAGUUGCGGUUAAACAAAAUUUAAAUUAAAUUUUAUUGGUAAUUAAUAAAUAAUAUAAAAAUAUAUUUUAAAUUUUAAAUUAUUAAGUGAAAUUUUAAUUUAAUUAAAAUUUAUAAAAAUAUUUAUGAUUUAAUAUUUUUUAUAAUAAACUAGGAUUAGAUACCCUAUUAUUAAAAUUUAAAUUAAAAAUACUAAAAUAGUAUAUAAUUAUUUAUUGAAACUUAAAUAAUUUGGCGGUAUUUUAGUUCAUUUAGAGGAAUCUGUUUAUUAAUUGAUAACCCACGAAUAAAUUUACUUAAUUUAUUUAAUUUGUAUAUCGUUGUUAAUAAAUAUUUUUUAAUGAUAAUAAUAUUUUAAAAUUUUUAUAUUAAAAUUAAAUCAGAUCAAGAUGCAGUUUAUAAUUAAGAAUAUAAUGGAUUACAAUAAAUUUAUUUAUGUGGAUAUUAAUUUGUAAAAAUUAAUUAAAAUUGGAUUUAAAUGUAAUUUUAAUUAGUUUAUUAGAAUGAUUUAUAAUUAAAAUAUGUACAUAUUGCCCGUCACUUUCAUUAAUAAAUUGAAAUAAGUCGUAACAAAGUAGAGAUACUGGAAAGUGUUUCUAGAAAGAU
Molecule: non-coding RNA, 777 nt
Filed under: unidentified
Source: RNAcentral